AUAAAAUUAAAUAAUUUAUUUAAAAAAUAAUUUUAAUUUAUUUAAAUUUAGUAAUUAAUAUUAAAAAUUUAAGAAAUUAAGAUUUAGUAAUAUGUUGUAAUAAAUUAAUAACAAAUUUUGUGCCAGCAGUUGCGGUUAUACAAAAAUUAAAUUAAAUUUUUUUAGUUAUUAAUAAUUAAAAUUUAAUUUAUAAUUAAAAAUAAAAAUUAUUAAGUGAAAUUUUAAUUUUUAUUAUUUUAUUUAAAUAUUUUUUAUAAUUUAAUAAAUUUUAUUAUAAAACUAGGAUUAGAUACCCUAUUAUUUAAAAAUUUAAAUUUUAAAUACUAAAAUAGUAUAUAAUUAAUUAUUGAAACUUAAAUAUUUUGGCGGUAUUUUAGUUUAUUUAGAGGAAUCUGUUUAUUAAUUGAUAAUCCACGAAUAAUUUUACUUAAUUUAUUAUUUUGUAUAUCGUUGUUAAAAAAAUAUUUUUUAAUAAUUUACAAUAUUUUAAAAUUAUAAUUUAAAUUUAAAUCAAAUCAAGAUGCAGAUUAUAAUUAAGAAUAUAAUGGAUUACAAUAAAUUUAUUUAAAUGAAUUUUAUUUUGUAAUAUUUAAAUGAAAGUGGAUUUAAAUGUAAUUUUAUUUAAUUUUAUAAAAUGAUUAAAAAUUAAAAUAUGUACAUAUUGCCCGUCACUUUCAUAAAUAAAUUGAAAUAAGUCGUAACAAAGUAGAGGUACUGGAAAGUGUUUCUAGAAAGAA
RNAcentral lists this non-coding RNA (737 nucleotides) under Chorodna fulgurita. Lineage: Eukaryota; Metazoa; Arthropoda; Insecta; Lepidoptera; Geometridae. The record is from RNAcentral.